GUUAGUGGUUAGUCAAACUCGACAAGACAUCGCAUCUCGUGCCUACGUAUCUCAUCUGAACAUGAGAAUCAGAGUUGCCGUAGUUCGGCUACGGAGGGAAAAAGGACUCGAUUGCAACUAGGGCAAGAGAAAGGGAAAGUCUCGAUCGCAACGAGGGCGAGAGAAAGGAAAAGGCUCGAUCGCAACGAGGGCGAGAGAAAGGAUCGCAACGAGGGCGA
RNAcentral lists this long non-coding RNA (218 nucleotides) under Lathyrus oleraceus (garden pea). Its description in RNAcentral is "Pisum sativum (pea) long non-coding RNA (PSAT_LNC001558)". The record is from RNAcentral. Lineage: Eukaryota; Viridiplantae; Streptophyta; Magnoliopsida; Fabales; Fabaceae.